GAUGAAGAACGUAGCGAAAUGCGAUAAGUAAUGUGAAUUGCAGAACUCAGUGAAUCAUCGAAUCUUUGAACGCACAUUGCGCCCCCUGGUAUUCCGGGGGGCAUGCCUGUCCGAGCGUCAUUACAACCCUCAAGCUCAGCUUGGUAUUGGGCCCCGCCGACCCGGCGGGCCCUAAAGUCAGUGGCGGUGCCGUCCGGCUCCGAGCGUAGUAAUUCGUCUCGCUCUGGAGGUCCGGUCGUGUGCUCGCCAGCAACCCCCAAUUUUUUUCAGGUUGACCUCGGAUCAGGUAGGGAUACCCGCUGAACUUAAGCAUAUCAAUAAGCGGAGGA
RNAcentral lists this unclassified non-coding RNA (329 nucleotides) under soil metagenome. RNAcentral's name for it is "partial contains 5.8S ribosomal RNA, internal transcribed spacer 2, and large subunit ribosomal RNA". The stretch from base 1 to 120 matches the Rfam family "5.8S ribosomal RNA", at positions 35 to 154 of the family's 154-position model. The record is from RNAcentral.